This 275-nucleotide unclassified non-coding RNA is filed under the name uncultured Chaetothyriales. RNAcentral's name for it is "sequence contains ITS2". The stretch from base 1 to 52 matches the Rfam family "5.8S ribosomal RNA", at positions 103 to 154 of the family's 154-position model. The record is from RNAcentral. Lineage: Eukaryota; Fungi; Ascomycota; Eurotiomycetes; Chaetothyriales.
AACGCAUAUUGCGCCCUCUGGUAUUCCGGGGGGCAUGCCUGUUCGAGCGUCAUUAUCACCCCUCAAGCCCGGCUUGUUGUUGGAUGUGGCGGCGGCCUUUAAUGGCGUACCGCCCGUCUCAAAGAUAAUGACGGCGUCUGUGAGGACUCCUGUACACUGAGCUUUCGGGCACGUACUAGGCUGAUACUCGCAGACCCGGUCUUUAGGGCUCGCCUCGGCGGCCCAACUUUUCUAAGGUUGACCUCGGAUCAGGUAGGAAUACCCGCUGAACUUAA